RNAcentral lists this transfer RNA (77 nucleotides) under Schistosoma haematobium. RNAcentral's name for it is "tRNA-Val". It matches the Rfam family "tRNA". From Rfam's summary of the family: Transfer RNA (tRNA) molecules are approximately 80 nucleotides in length. Lineage: Eukaryota; Metazoa; Platyhelminthes; Trematoda; Strigeidida; Schistosomatidae. The record is from RNAcentral.
UAGCGUAGUAGUUAAAGUUUAACGUUUGUUUUACACACAAAAGAUGAAGUAAGGUUUGAGUAUGCUUCCGGCGCCAU